RNAcentral lists this transfer RNA (68 nucleotides) under Eshraghiella crossota. It matches the Rfam family "tRNA". Rfam says of the family: Transfer RNA (tRNA) molecules are approximately 80 nucleotides in length. Their secondary structure includes four short double-helical elements and three loops (D, anti-codon, and T loops). Further hydrogen bonds mediate the characteristic L-shaped molecular structure. tRNAs have two regions of fundamental functional importance: the anti-codon, which is responsible for specific mRNA codon recognition, and the 3' end, to which the tRNAs corresponding amino acid is attached (by aminoacyl-tRNA synthetases). tRNAs cope with the degeneracy of the genetic code in two manners: having more than one tRNA (with a specific anti-codon) for a particular amino acid; and 'wobble' base-pairing, i.e. permitting non-standard base-pairing at the 3rd anti-codon position. The record is from RNAcentral. Lineage: Bacteria; Bacillati; Bacillota; Clostridia; Lachnospirales; Lachnospiraceae. RNAcentral also lists the same sequence under 2 other names.
GGGUAUAGUUCAGCUGGUAGAAUAUCGGUCUCCAAAACCGCAGGUCGUGGGUUCGAAUCCUACUGCCC